Molecule: microRNA precursor, 63 nt
Filed under: Chlorocebus sabaeus (green monkey)
Lineage: Eukaryota; Metazoa; Chordata; Mammalia; Primates; Cercopithecidae
Description: miRNA (ENSCSAG00000025318.1)
Source: RNAcentral
AAUCUACUUCUCCCGCCGCAGGGAAAAAAGGCGGGAGAAGCCCCGGCAGAAAUUAAUUGCUCC